GAUGAACGCUGGCGGCGUGCCUAAUACAUGCAAGUCGAGCGAACAGACGAGGAGCUUGCUCCUCUGACGUUAGCGGCGGACGGGUGAGUAACACGUGGAUAACCUACCUAUAAGACUGGGAUAACUUCGGGAAACCGGAGCUAAUACCGGAUAAUAUAUUGAACCGCAUGGUUCAAUAGUGAAAGACGGUUUUGCUGUCACUUAUAGAUGGAUCCGCGCCGCAUUAGCUAGUUGGUAAGGUAACGGCUUACCAAGGCAACGAUGCGUAGCCGACCUGAGAGGGUGAUCGGCCACACUGGAACUGAGACACGGUCCAGACUCCUACGGGAGGCAGCAGUAGGGAAUCUUCCGCAAUGGGCGAAAGCCUGACGGAGCAACGCCGCGUGAGUGAUGAGGGUCUUCGGAUCGUAAAACUCUGUUAUUAGGGAAGAACAAAUGUGUAAGUAACUAUGCACGUCUUGACGGUACCUAAUCAGAAGGCCACGGCUAACUACGUG
Molecule: ribosomal RNA, 497 nt
Filed under: uncultured bacterium
Lineage: Bacteria
Description: partial 16S ribosomal RNA
Rfam family: Bacterial small subunit ribosomal RNA
Source: RNAcentral